Molecule: ribosomal RNA, 108 nt
Filed under: Pteropus alecto (black flying fox)
Lineage: Eukaryota; Metazoa; Chordata; Mammalia; Chiroptera; Pteropodidae
Source: RNAcentral
AUAUAUGGCUUUAAAGUUUUACAUUUUCUGAUCUCAGAAGCUAAGCAGGAUUGGGCCUGGUUCGUACUUGCAUGGGAGACCACUUAGGAAUACCAGGUACUGUAGGCA